Molecule: ribosomal RNA, 253 nt
Filed under: uncultured bacterium
Lineage: Bacteria
Description: partial 16S ribosomal RNA
Rfam family: Bacterial small subunit ribosomal RNA
Source: RNAcentral
UACGUAGGGUGCGAGCGUUAAUCGGAAUUACUGGGCGUAAAGCGUGCGCAGGCGGUUGUGCAAGACAGAGGUGAAAUCCCCGAGCUUAACUUGGGAACUGCCUUUGUGACUGCACGGCUAGAGUGUGUCAGAGGGGGGUAGAAUUCCACGUGUAGCAGUGAAAUGCGUAGAGAUGUGGAGGAAUACCGAUGGCGAAGGCAGCCCCCUGGGAUAACACUGACGCUCAUGCACGAAAGCGUGGGGAGCAAACAGG